Molecule: long non-coding RNA, 19878 nt
Filed under: Lactuca sativa (garden lettuce)
Lineage: Eukaryota; Viridiplantae; Streptophyta; Magnoliopsida; Asterales; Asteraceae
Description: long non-coding RNA (LSAT_LNC009311)
Source: RNAcentral
AAGGGCAUUAUCACAAGCGGAUUUGGAGAAGGUGGUGCUUACAACAAAGAAGACGAGGGUUGCAGCAAGUGAGUAUAGUGGUUUGAGCAGCUCACAAUCAGAAGUGUGGUCAGUGCCAAGGGAAACGGAUGAUUAUCAAGCUGCCAUUAGUGAGCUUUCAAAGAUUGUUGUGUCACAGAUUAUGAACAUUAGAGCAGAAAACCAAGAUCGUGAUUGAAGAUCAAUUCAUAUUUAAGAUUUCAUCUCCCUCUCUCAAUUUUGAUUAGUCAGGAUUAUAUGUCAUAUUAUGGUAUGAUGUACAAUAUACUUAUGCGAAAAGUUAUCUUAUUACCACAUGCUUUUGAUUUUUCUUUAGUUUGAUUAUGUAACUUUCAGUGCUAAGUUAUUGUUUUUUCCUCAGUUUUUUAAUAACAGAAUCUGUGAUGGGUUUGUUUAUUUGACUUGAUCCAUGCAUUGCAUGCUUUCAACUUCAAGAAUAUGACAAAUAUUCACCAACUUUAAUAACUCGGACUUAAUUAUUAUUUUAUAUGAUACUAAAAGUCAGCAAAUAGAUAUUUAUUUAUAUGAGGUUUUUACAUUUUUAGUUUACAUUAAUAUUAUACAAAAAGUCAGCAAAUUUUUUAAACAUCGCUGAUGUGGUGUUGAUUAUGAUGGCAUGUGCGGAAUUAGAAAGAUCUAGUGAUUCAUCAUACAAAUUCAAGAACACCAGGAGUAAUAAAUCUUUGUUAGCUCUUAUUAGAUCUAGAAAGAUUAUACAAAUGGGUUUGUAUAUAAUUUCUCUCUCUAGUCUAACACUCAAAAAUGGACUCCCUUCAUAAUGGGAGUCACUCACUUCCUAUUUAUAAGAAAAGACUCAACUCAUUUACACAUACAAAGAGGAAAGCUUAAAACAUUACAUCCAAGCAUGACUUUGCACCCUAACAUUCUCCCCCUCAAAGUUAGGAUUGGAUGUCCGGCUUUAAUCUCCAACGAGCUAGCGCGAUCAAGACCAAACUCCCCCUCGAAGUAACACCGAUCUUCAAAUCCGCAAAUGAAUAUUCGACAAACCCGAGAAGCUUCGAAUACCCAUCAUUCUCCCCCUUUUUAUAAUAAAAAAAAUGAUUAUAAAACCCACUAAGGAUGAGAAGCGCCCGAGGAAUAAUCUUCACAAUACUCCCCCUUGAUGUGUACCAAAAAUGAAUCACCAAAAAUCUUGCACGGAAAAACAAUCACGAAAAAGCCACAAAAAUUUUCAAUUUAUGAAAAUUUUUGACUUUUUGGGUGAAAGUUGCAAGAUUUUUCAAAAAUCGGGUAGAAAUUGUCACUUUCUGAAACUUGCAGGGACCCGUUGCGCUCAAAACAGCCAAAUAUGCGAAACUCUAGCCCAUUUGCGAAACCGGGCAUAAAGCGUAAAUUCACACAAACUGCAGGGACUGAACAUGAAACUUCUUUCCAUUUGUCAGAAAAUUACCCCAAUGUCAAAAUUGGGUCAAAUGUGUCAAACUUUUGAAACUUAAAGGACCAAUUUCAAAACUUUUGUGUGUCUUCCCCAAUUGAUUUGUUCCAGUCAAUGUCGAUACUAGUUAUAAACCUUCGAAACUUCAAUCUCCAAAACUCAAUUUUUUCUUUUUCAAACAACCAAUCCAGUCGAUUAUUUGUGUUGGGCUUGAUCUGAAAAAAAUUAAUUGGAUCAAACAAAGGGGUUGAAACGGAUUUGAUCCAAUGAGGCAAAUCGAUUUCAAAUGAAAAACGUCAAAAUACGAAUCGAAAUCAUGGACGUUUUGGAAUCCAUUUGAGAAUUUGAGAUACCUUUUUGACGAAUCGAGUUCCGUUUUCAACAAACGAAUCAAAUUUGGAAGAUCUUGGUUCUUUUGUCGGAAUGAGAAAAUCUCCAAAUCGAACAUUGUACCACCCACCAUGCGAGAUGUACAACUCGUUCUUCGUGUUCUUCAUCAAACCAAGAACAUCUUCAAAAGAACCACCAACACAUUUGGGUUUUGACUUCAAAUUCAAUUCAACACUUGGAGAUUGUUGCUUUGGAACCCAAAUUUGCUUCACGGAUUUUGGCUUCACAACAUAUGACGAUUUUUGUGAGUAAACCCGCUUAUUCUUCCGAUUCAUCUUCUUCUUCUUUUUCUUUCUCAUCUUUUUGCAUCUUGAAGACUUGACUUCAUGAACAAACCCACUUUCAACAACAUGAACAUUUUGAGUUUGAAUCAAAUCUUUUGGAGUUUGAUACUUGUGAUUUUCUUGGAUCACCGGCUUCCGAUAAGGAAUCAUUCCUUCAAACGAAUCACAAGAACACAAAAUAUCAUCGGUUUGAACUCCAAUUGAGCAAAAAACUUUUUCAUCAUGAGAAUCAACUUGAACUCCUUUUUCUUGAACAUCAAGAACAUCACAUUGAACUCCAUUGUCAAGAACUUCAACAAACUUAAGAGCACGAAGAUCAUUUGGGUUUUCAAUUAGAGAAAUGUAUUUCUUAUUGAACAAAUCUCUUUCUUCUCCUUCUUUUUGAUUUCUACUACGAACUAAUAUGGACAAGGCAAUUUUAUUCAACCAUGUAAUCUUACAAAUUGGUUGAAAUACCAAGCUUCCAUGAUCAUCCUUCAAACCUCCAUAAGAAACCAAAUUACCCCAUGAAAUCAAUUUGCUUAACAACAACCCAUAAAAUUGAUCUUCAUUGACUUUGUAUUUCACAUCUUUAACGAUCACAAUCCAAGAAUCAUAUGGCAAACCCACCAUGAUCACAAAAACUUGAAGAUUUCUAGAGAGAGAAAGUGAUUUUGAAUGGGUUUUCUAGAGAGAUAAAGUGAUACAAACAAGUAUUCUAGAGAGAGAAAGUCGAAUUAUGGAUCAAAUCAAAGAAAAAUUCGACUUCUAGAACACAAAAACACUCUCUAAACACGAAGAUCAAUGAACAAUAAGAAUCACCAAAUCAAAAUAGCCAUCAAGGAUCAUUUCUUGAUGAAAAUCAAGAACACCCUCUCUGAUACCAAUUAUAGUGGUGUUGAUUAUGAUGACAUGUGCGGAAUUAGAAAGAUCUAGUGAUUCAUCAUACAAAUUCAAGAACACAAGAAGUAAAUAAAUCUUUUUAAGCUCUUAUUAGAUCUAGAAAGAUUAUACAAAUGGGUUUGUAUACAAUUUCUAUCUCUAGUCUAACACUCCAAAAUGGACUCCCUUCAUAAUGGGAGUCACUCACUUCCUAUUUAUAGAAAAAGACUCAACCCAUUUACACAUACAAAGAGGAAAGCCUAAAACAUUACAUCCAAGCAUGACUUUGCACCCUAACAAUUGCAAAUGCCCUCGUUAGAUUUUGGUGAUUCUCAUACAUUUGUAAUUGUGAAUCGGUAACAAAACCUUAAACCAAACAUAUCAAAACAGCAUGUAAGGUCUAAAUGGAAAACACUUUGUUUUGUACAUCUUCAUCUCUUAGAUCUUAUUUUUAUUAUUUGCUAUUAUUAUUAUUAUUAUUAUUAUUAUUAUUAUUAAAAUGUGAACAUUCUCAAAAUAAAUAGGUAACCUCUUUUAUGUAAGAUCUAUUGUAAUCAUUCUCACAUAAAUAUCAAGAAAAUUAUUAAUAUAGUAUCUAUAAAAACUUGAAGCAUUUAUUCGAUCAUCAACGUAGUGACAAAACAAGUUUUUCAACGUUAGCCAUCAGUUUGACCAACGACAUACACAUUUUACCCAAGUUGAAGUUUUGAUAUAAUAAAUCUAUAAUUUUUCCGUUUUGACUAUAGAAAACACUGUUAUUAAAUCCAUAAUGCUAUAAUAGCCUCUUCAUAAUGGAUCAUAUUUUUAUUAGACAACUUUAGUAUGACUAACUUUAUUUACUUCACCAAAAUAACUCUCCUUUCACUUGCUGCCUCAAGUGAGUUGAACCUUAAAGUUCUAUUAUGGUUAUAGACCGACUAGCGAAUCUAAAUAGAAAUGCGCAUAGUUUCUUAAUUAAGUGAAGUUGAUAAAAACAAAAGGACAACAAUACAUGUAGUGAGUCAAGUCGAACUAGUAAAAACGGCCGGUUUGCAAAAAAACAAAUUCAACCAUACCGAUCAAACGUCUUAAAAUCAUGACCCCUAAAGCCAUAUUUUUUUGCAUGACUGCGUCUCUUUUCAUUUUAAACAACCAUCUUUGCAACAAUCAUUUCCUACAACCAACAACAUGGGAGGAGUUGUGUUGGUUUUUAAGUUUCCAUAUAACCCUUUCACCAUUCAUUUUUAUAACAUCAAACAACUAAAUCUCUUUCUCUUUAUCUCCGAUAUGUUAUAUGUUUUGAUAAACAUUUCAAACACCCGUUUUGCAUGUAUGAGUUGAUUAUGGUUGGUUUGUCUAAGUUUUGAUUUGGGAUUUUUGAUUGGGUCGCGGUGCGUGUCACGUCAUUAAGUAGCGGUGCGGUGGUCACUCAUCUCGUUUUAUGGAUAUAUCUUAUAAGAUAUUCAGGUAAGUUUUCACGAACUCUCUAAUUAUAUGGACUAUGACAUUAGGAUGUUAGACCAUGAAAAUCCUCUUGAAGAAAAUGAUCGGGGAUCGAUCAACUAGAGAAAAUCCUCUAGGGGGGGAAUCUAGUUGAAUAAGUAAUUAGAAUGAUAUGAUGUUAGGAUUAUGUAUCUUCUAUCAUGUUGCUUUGCUAACAUUAGUGACCCAAAACUCCGUUCAUAAGGAAGGCAGUGAGAUUAGACGCCAAUUGUAUCCCUAUGUUAAACAUAAUAAGAUUGAGUUAAUGUUUGUGAUUGAUAUGAUAACUUGGACAAUUUGAGAAGUUGUCAUUAACCUUAGGAUUGAUCAUCCCAAUUAAGUCAUUACAUAAUAGGAAUGAAUAAUAGACUGAGUCUAGGGGAGCUACCCUUGUUGUUAGAUAACUUAAAAUCAUAGGAUCAGUUACUUACUUACGAUCCGAUCUAAUCAAUUUAGGGAUAAAUGAAUAACUUACCAAUAUCGUUGUAAGGAGAUUAAUUCCUUGAACUAUGACGGAUUGAAUACAAAUAUGAUUACCUUCAAAUUAUGUUAUCUAUACAGUUAGCCAUGGUUGUUAUUUGUUUUUUCACAUGGUUGAUAAGAUUAGUUGCAUGGUUGUUUGAUUAUUUAUAUGAUUAUACUAGUGCCACUAUGUAAUUCCCUUUUAAUUUCUUUCUUUUAAGAUUGAUUAAUAAGAAGAUAUGGAUAUGUUAGUACACUUUUGUUCCCCAUAUAUUCGACACUCUUACUUACCUAAGUUAUGUUGUCAUUGACCAGGUCCACUGCCUGGUGUAGAUAGUCAGUUUGGUUUGUUAGGAAUUAUAAAUGUAAAAAUAGAUUUAUAUUUUCAAGUCUAUAUCUUUUAUGUCAUAAGUUUUUGGCGUCAUUAUCACAUGGAAUAGUUUUAAGUUAUCUCAAGUUUAUAGACUAUCUUUUACACAUCAAUUUUUUGGCGCCGUCGUUGGGGAAUAGAUUUCAACUAAUAUUGUUGUAUAUAAUUAUCGAUCAAUUGAUAUUUUCUGAAAGGAAAAUUAUUUUUUUGGUUGAUUUUUAAAUUUUAAUUUUCGUUGAUGACGAUUUCCCUUGUCGGAAAGGUAUUUUGCUGUUGUGAUGUGUAGGACUUCAACAAAACUAAAUGCAAGGUUACAGCCGAAGGAAUUUACUCAAAAUUAGUACAAAUUAACCUUGACUCCAUAGCUUCAUUGUGUGAAGGAUACACUAGUUCAGAUCUUCUAGAGCUCUACAAACAAGCAACUUAUUUCCCCAUAAGGGAUGUUAGAAAAUCGGGUAUAGGUAUAUUUGGAUCAGUGAGAGUUGUGAAACACUUUCAUAUUAAAACAUUUCAAGGGUACACUCAAAAUUUCUAAUCGGAUGAAACUCACUGGUUUUUUUAGAAUGGAGAAUGAAGAUUAUGUUAUGAAAUCUGUACCCAAAAAUGAAUUCGAAAUUGGUCAUAUAACAAAAACUAACUUCCUAUUUUAAAACCGUCAUAUGGUUGGUACAAGAAAACAACUUUCUAUCAAAAAACUGUCAUAUUACCUGUCACAAACUAAUAUAAAAUCGGAUCUAUAAAUGGAUCACAAAACCGACUGUAUUUAUAGAAAAUACGGAUUUCUGAAACCAGGUGUCUAUAAAUCGACCCCAGCUAGGGGAUUUGCCCUUUGGACCCCGCCAACGGCUGCCGCCCCUCGGACCCCGCUCCCAGGGGCACUGCCCUUGGACCCCGUCAGGGGGUUCGCCCCUAAAUAGCAGUAUACUUUCAACAAUGACAAAAUCAAACAAAUGUGCACUUCACACCAUACUAAUUUGUUAGAUAAUUGUCAAAGUGACAUUGACCAACAAAUUAACUCUAUUACACUUUAAUAAUAUUAGUGAUAUAAAAUCACCGACAAGGGAUUCUAGAUGAUGAGAAUAAAGGCAAAAAAACAAAUGUUCGUAUUUGUUGAAAAUGUGUGCAUUUAUUUUGGUACAAUCUCAUAUUUAUUUUAAAAAGAAAUUGUAAAGGGUAUAUUAUGUAAGUGUUGUGUUCUGGAAGGAUGAAAGUUGUAUGCAGGUUAUAAAGUUAAAACACGCGGGUUGAAUAUGGGUCGGAUAUAGAUCGGAUUAUAUUUGUGGAUACAAUCCGAGAUAUAAAUAGAGGAGUGAAGGUUCUGGAGGAAACACGCAGAAGUUGUUAGAUCUAGAUAUUUUCUCUCAGUUUUCAUCUCUCAAGAGUUCUUCGUUGAUUAGUCUGAUACGUAUCUGGUUUGUUGUAUUUUGAGUAAGAGAGAAGGUUGUGUAAUCAGUCUGUUUUACUCUCAUCUUUUGAUCAUUAGAAAUAGUUUAGAUUGAGUGAAAGUCUGAGAGUUUUUGUAGUGAGUUUUGAGUUGUAAGUAUAUUGAAAACCACCUGUUUCUUGAUCUUAAAAUGAAAUGAGAAAUGGUGAUGUUGGGAAGUUUGUUUUGUGAGUUUUUUAACAUGGUAUCAGAGCAUAAGGCUCGUCUUCGUUGAUCCUGACGAUCGCUUCUUGUUCUUGCUCGGUUUUUGUGUUUCUACUUGGGACGAUCUGUGAAAGGUAUACGUUCUUUUUUGUUUUUUGCGAUUAAAUAAGUUCAGUCUAGGGUUUUGUUUUAUUUCCCUAAAUCUAGAGUCUAUUUGUUGAGAUCUUGGUACUGCGAGUUGUUUGUUUAAUCUUUCAGGGAUACUGCGAUUCGAGACCUGACUAAGCGUUCCUGUGAAGUUGACUAAAACUCUCCAACGUUGUCGAUCAAUCCCUAUUAAUCUGAAAUAAUCCUCUUGGGGUCAGAUUUCAUCACUGAUAAACCCUUGUAGGAAACGGAUUUAGGGAGUCGACGUUGUCCAUCCUCUUUUUUGCCUAGUGCACUGUGAGGGUUUCUCGUUCCUUUCUCUCUAUUUUCUAGCUGUAGAUCUGGAAUUCUUUGAUGUUUUGAGUACAUCGGUUAUUUGUUCUUUGCUUCUCAAAGCUGAUUUGCUUUUUUUUUCACACUGUGUUGAUUGUCUUGGGCCCCGACAUACUGUGGUGACCAUCUGGACUUUAAGUCAACACUAGUGUUGUUUUUUUGUGAUCUGGUUUGCUAUUUGGUUUCUUGAUUGUUACUUGUGAUGGCUGGUGAAACUUCUGAUGGGAGUGGUGUUCCUAAGGAAACUCCUGUAGAUUUUGAUGAUCCUUUAUAUGUCCAUCCUUCUGAUAAUAAUGUAACGUCUAUUAUAACUGUUAAGCUGACUGGUAAUGAGAAUUAUCGAUUGUGGCGUAGUGCUAUGUCUAGAGGUCUUAAAGCUAGAAAUAAAUUGGGCUUUGUGGAUGGUACUAUUACUCUUGAAAGUACUGAUAAAUCUAAAGCCACUAAAUGGGAACGUGUAAAUGCUGUUGUCUGUAAUUGGAUUCUAGGGUCAAUUUCUGAAACUAUAUAUACUAGUCAUGUGUAUUCAGAUAAUGCUAAAGAUAUCUGGGAUGAAUUGUUUGAAACCUACAAUAAAUCUGAUGGAUCGGUAAUCUUUAAUAUUCAUCAGCAGAUCAACACAUUAAAGCAAAAUGGUUCUUCUCUUUCUGACUAUUUUAGUAAAUUAGAUUCUUUGUGGAAGGAGUUUGAUGGGUUAACUAGUUUAACUGAAUGUGUAUGUGAGGCAGCUACAAAACUUAAUGAUCAUUCAAAAUUGAUGAAAUUAAUGCAAUUUCUUAGUGGACUUGAUGAUGUUUAUAAUCAAGUCAAGAGUCACAUUCUUUUGAUGGAACCUUUACCUAAUGUUAAAUCUGCCUUCUCUAUUCUUUCUAGAGAAGAGUCUCUUCAAAAGAAUGGGUCUCUUGGGUCUACUAUUUCUUCAAAACCUCAAGUUUCUGUGUUUAAUAGCAAAGUUAAUGAUUUUAAACGAGGACAAAAUCAAUUUAGGUUUAAGAACCAAGGAUUACAAUGCAAGCAUUGUAAUCUUAAAGGUCACACUAUAGAAAGAUGUUAUAAACUGAUUGGUUAUCCAAAGGAUUUCAAAUUUAAAAAUGAAAGUAAUAAUCAAAACAAGUCUGGUGUUGUCAACUCUUCUUCUGUUAGUGCUAAUAAUAGCAAGUCUGUUUCUUCUGAGUCUGGUCUUGGGAGUGAUGCUCAUUUUCUUACUAGUGAGCAAUAUUCUAAGUUUUUGCGUCUCAUUAGUGAGAAACCUGCUUGUGAUGAUGUGCCUGCUACUGCAAAUAUGGCAGGUAUGUCUAUGUCUAUGUUUAAAUGUUGUAAUUCUUUUGCUAGUUCAAAUGAUUUUCAAAGCUGGAUUGUUGAUUCAGGAGCUAAUCAACAUAUGAUAGCUUCUGAGUCACAACUUAAAGAUGCUAUAGAUGUGUCUAAACUGAAUUUGUCUGUUAAACAUCCUAAUGGUUCUUCAGCUUCUAUUAAUAAAAUAGGGAAUCUUCAAUUAUCCUCACAUCUUACCUUAUUUGAUGUCUUUGCUGUUCCUGAUUUCAAUGUUAAUCUUUUAUCUGUCCAUAAACUUUGUAAAGACAGUGGCUGUGAGGUUGUUUUUUCUGAACAUACUUGUAAAAUCCAGGAUUCACUAUCAAAGAAGAUGGUGGAGAAUGGUAGAGAGUCUGGGGGAUUAUACUAUCUUGAUUGUGUUCCCUCAGGUAUUUCAACAAAUAGUGUGUCUAAUUGUUAUGUUUCUAAACUAACUUGGCAUAGCAGACUUGGUCAUCCAGCAGACCAAGCUUUAAUAUCUUUAAAGGGAAUUUUAAAACUUGGAAAUGAAUCUCUUCCUCCUUGUGAUGUUUGUCAUAAGUCUAAACAAACUAGAGAACCUUUUUCACAAAGUCAACAUACAUCAACCAAGUUAGGUGAAUUGGUUCACUUAGAUGUCUGGGGUCCUUAUAGGCUUGCUUCUGUUGAAGGGUUUAAGUAUUUUUUGACUAUUGUGGAUGAUUUUACUAGGGCCACUUGGGUAUUUCUUUUAAAGUCUAAAAUUGAUGUUUUUGAUUGUUUUAAAUCCUUUGUUAAUAUUCUUUUAAAUCAAUUUAAUGUUAAUGUUAAAAUAGUACGUUCAGACAAUGGUACUGAGUUUGUUAAUAAUCAAAUGAAGUUCUUUUGUUUUGAAAAGGGCAUGAUUCAUCAAACAUCAUGUGCUUAUACUCCACAAAAAAAUGGAGUUGUGGAGAGAAAGCAUAGGCAUAUCCUUAAUGUUGCUCGAUCUCUUUUAUUUCAAUCAGGAGUUCCUGUCAAGUAUUGGGGAGAUGCUGUUUUGACUUCUGUUUUUUUAAUAAAUAGAAUGCCUACUUCUGUUUUAAAUGGUCAAUCACCUUAUGAAUUGGUUUUUCAGAGAACUCCUAAUUUUGAAUAUUUAAGGGUUUUUGGUUGUUUAUGUUUUGCUGUUAAACCAAAUGUUUCUGAUAAAUUGUCUGAACGUGCUGAAAAAUGUAUUCUUUUAGGUUAUUGUUCUGAUAAAAAGGCAUAUAAACUCCUUAGUUUGGAUACUAAUUCUUCUUUUGUAUCCAGGGAUGUGAAGUUUUAUGAGUCUGUUUUUCCAUACAAGUUGAAAUCAACUUCUGUUGAUAAAGUUUCGAAUAUUUUUGGCCCUAGUGAUCUCUUUUCCUAUGGUGAAUUUGAUAAUAAUAAAUAUAUAAAUGAUUAUAUUAAUCUUGAUGAGCUGAGAGUAGAGUCUCAGUUGGAUGGUGCUGAUGCAGCCAUUGGUAUGGAUGAUGUUGAUUCUAGUAACUUUGUCAACCCUAGUGGCGAGGCAGUUGUGCCUCCUACUGAUUCAUCUGUUCCUUCUUCUUCAAGUGUAUCUGAGGAAAGUAGUCAAUCAGUCUUAAUCCCUUCUUUGGAUCAGUCUGUAGGUGUCUCUAGAUCUAGGCGUGAGUCUCAUAUGCCUGUUAAGUUCUCUGAUUAUAUUGUAGAAGGUAAGUAUAAAUAUGGUGUUGAAAGAACUAUUAACUAUUCUUUUCUUGAUUCUGAAACUAAGUGUUUUAUUUCUAAUCUUGAUAAAACUGUUGAACCAAAAAGUUAUAAUGAAGCUUUUUCUGAUCCUAAUUGGAUUAAAGCUAUGAAUGAUGAAAUGGAAGCACUUCAUCGAAAUAAUACAUGGGAAAUAACUGAUUUACCUAAAAAUAGGAAACCAAUUGGAUGUAAAUGGGUUUAUAAGAUUAAAUACAAGUCAAAUGGUGAAAUAGAUAGAUAUAAAGCACGUUUAGUUGCUAAAGGUUAUAAUCAAAGAGAGGGUAUUGAUUUUGAGGAGACUUUUUCUCCUGUUGCAAAAAUUGUAACAGUUCGGAUUGUUGUUUCUCUUUCUGUUCACUAUUCUUGGCCUUUGUAUCAGUUGGAUAUUAAUAAUGCCUUUUUAUAUGGAGAUCUUACUGAAGAUGUUUAUAUGUCACUUCCACCUGGUUAUUACUCUAGUAAUGAUACUAGAGUAUGUAAGCUUACUAAGUCUUUAUAUGGACUAAAGUAGGCUCCUAGGAAAUGGAAUGAAAAGCUUUGUGCAUCAUUGUUUAUGUUUGGUUUUAAACAGAGUAUAAGUGAUUAUUCGUUGUUUGUUAAGAAAAUUGAAGGUUCAAUAACUGUUUUGCUAGUAUAUGUUGAUGAUAUUAUUUUAACUGGAAAUAGUGAAGUAGAGUUAAAGAAGGUAAAGAAUUUUAUGAGUAGUCAGUUUUUAAUUAAAGAUCUUGGAACACUUAAAUAUUUUUUAGGAAUUGAAGUAGUUAAAUUUGAUAGUGGUUUAUGUUUAAAUCAAAGAAAAUAUUGUCUUGAGUUGUUGCAUGAAUAUGGUAUGCUUGGCUGUAAACCUGUGACUACACCUUUGGAAACAAAUUUUGUUAUAAAUUCUGAUAAUCAUGAUGGGAAAAAUGAAUUGUUGGAAAAUAAAACUGAAUUUCAGAAACUAAUAGGUAAACUUAUCUAUCUUACAGUUACUAGACCUGAUAUUUCUUAUGCAGUCCAGGUCCUUAGUCAGUAUAUGCAUAGUCCUAGAAAGUUACAUUUGAAUAUUGCUUUUAGAUUGUUAAGGUAUUUGAAAAAUAGUCCUGGAAAAGGAAUUGCUUUAACCAAAUCAAGUGUGUUGGAAUUGAAAGGUUUUGUGGAUGCAGAUUGGGCUAAAUGUUUAGCUACAAGAAGAUCUGUAUCUGGGUAUAUGGUAUAUCUUAAUAAUUGUCUUAUUUCUUGGAAAAGUAAAAAACAAUCUACUGUUUCAAGAUCCUCUACUGAGUCGGAAUAUAGGGCUCUUGGCUCUAUCACAUGUGAGAUAAUUUGGAUUUUAAAAGUUCUGUUUGAACUAGAGGUUAAAAAUCUUAUUCCUGCUUCUGUUUUCUGUGACAAUAGUUCCACAAUUAAAUUAGCUUUUAAUCCUGUAUUUCAUGAAAGAACAAAACAUUUUGAAAUAGAUCUACAUUUUGUUAGAGAAAAAAUCUCUAGUGGUGUUUUAAAGCUUGUGAAAAUUGGUUCAGAUGAACAAAAUGCUGAUAUAUUAACAAAAUCUUUAAGUGUAAAACAACAUGAAUUUUUGUCUAAUAAAAUGGGUCUUAUUGAUAUUUUCAGAAAAUAAAUAUUUCGAUUGAGGGGGGAUGUUGAAAAUGUGUGCAUUUAUUUUGGUACAAUCUCAUAUUUAUUUUAAAAAGAAAUUGUAAAGGGUAUAUUAUGUAAGUGUUGUGUUCUGGAAGGAUGAAAGUUGUAUGCAGGUUAUAAAGUUAAAACACGCGGGUUGAAUAUGGGUCGGAUAUAGAUCGGAUUAUAUUUGUGGAUACAAUCCGAGAUAUAAAUAGAGGAGUGAAGGUUCUGGAGGAAACACGCAGAAGUUGUUAGAUCUAGAUAUUUUCUCUUAGUUUUCAUCUCUCAAGAGUUCUUCGUUGAUUAGUCUGAUACGUAUCUGGUUUGUUGUAUUUUGAGUAAGAGAGAAGGUUGUGUAAUCAGUCUGUUUUACUCUCAUCUUUUGAUCAUUAGAAAUAGUUUAGAUUGAGUGAAAGUCUGAGAGUUUUUGUAGUGAGUUUUGAGUUGUAAGUAUAUUGAAAACCACCUGUUUCUUGAUCUUAAAAUGAAAUGAGAAAUGGUGAUGUUGGGAAGUUUGUUUUGUGAGUUUUUUAACAGUAUUCAUUCUUUUACCUUUAUCUAAGUAACCACAUAAUUUCAUCAACGUCCGAGAUUAAGUUUGGUGCUUUGGAUGUAUAAUGUGGUUAUUUUAUUUGUUAUUUUGUCUAAUUAUAUUGCAUUGAAUAUGUGUUUUGUUGAUGUUAAUUGAGAUUUUUUAUAAUAAUUUAGGGGCCAAGGGCAUUAACACAAGCAGAUUUGGAGAAGGUGAUGCUUACAGCAAAGAAGACGAGGGUUGCAGCAAGUGAGUAUAGUGGUUUGAGCAGCUCACAGUCAGAAUUAUGGUUAGUGCCAAGGGAAACGGAUGAUUAUCAAGCUGCCAUUAGUGAGCUUUCAAAGAUUGUUGUGUCACAGAUUAUGAACAUUAGAGCAGAAAACCAAGAUCGUGAUUGAAGAUCAAUUCAUAUUUAAGAUUUCAUCUCCCUCUCUCAAUUUUGAUUAGUCAGGAUUAUAUGUCAUAUUAUGGUAUGAUGUACAAUAUACUUAUGCGAAAAGUUAUCUUAUUACCACAUGCUUUUGAUUUUUCUUUAGUUUGAUUAUGUAACUUUCAGUGCUAAGUUAUUGUUUUUUCCUCAGUUUUUUAAUAACAGAAUCUGUGAUGGGUUUGUUUAUCUGACUUGAUCCAUGCAUUGCAUGCUUUCAACUUCAAGAAUAUGACAAAUGUUCACCAACUUUAAUAACUCGGACUUAAUUAUUAUUUUAUAUGAUACUAACAGAUUACAAACUAACACGGUUUAGAAAGAAAAGAUUAAAAAAAAAAGCGACUAUUACCAUAAUUCUUUGACCCACUAGAAUCUAGCUAUUUUUUUAACAUAUACUAGUCGGACCAACUCUCUUCUUAUCCCUGUGAAAAACUGGUUGUAGCCUCUGAUCCUAUAUAAACNNNNNNNNNNNNNNNNNNNNNNNNNNNNNNNNNNNNNNNNNNNNNNNNNNNNNNNNNNNNNNNNNNNNNNNNNNNNNNNNNNNNNNNNNNNNNNNNNNNNNNNNNNNNNNNNNNNNNNNNNNNNUCAAAUAGAUAUUUAUUUAUCUGAGGUUUUUACAAUUUAGUUGACAUUCAAAUUAUACAAAAGUCAGCAAAUUUUUUAAACAUUGCAAAUGCUCUCGUUAGAUUUUGGUGAUUCUCAUACAUUUGUAAUUGUGAUGAAUCGGUAACAAAACCUUAAACCAAACAUAUCAAAACAACAUUUAAGGUCUAAAUGGAAAACACUUUGUUUUGUACAUCUUCAUCUCUUAUAGGAGUAUCUUAUUUUUAUUAUUUGCUAUUAUCAUUAUUAUUAUUAUUAAAAAUGUGAACAUUCUCAAAAUAAAUACCUAACCUCUUUUAUGUAAGAUCUAUUGUAAUCAUUCUCACAUAAAUAUCAAGAAAAGUAUUAAUAUAAUAUCUAUAAAAACUUGAAGCAUUUAUUCGAUCAUCAACGUAUUGACAAAACAAGUUUUUCAACGUUAGCCAUCAGUUUGACCAACGACAUACACAUUUUACCCAAGUCGAAGUUUUGAUAUAAUAAAUCUAUAAUUUUUCCGUUUUGACUAUAGAAAACAAUGUUAUUAAAUCCAUAAUACUAUAAUAGCAUCUUCAUAAUGGAUCAUAUUUUUCUUAAACAACUUUAGUAUGACUAACUUUAUUUAUUUCACCAAAAUAACUCUUCCUUCACUUGCUGCCUCAAGUGAGUUGAACCUUAAAGUUCUAUUAUGGUUAUAGACCGACUAGCAAAUCUAAAUAGAAAUGCCCAUAGUUUCUUAAUUAAGUGAAGUUGAUAAAAAUAAAAAAGUCAACAAUACCUGUAGUGAGUCAAGUCGAAUUAGUAAAAACGGCCGGUUUGCAAAAAAAUAAAUUCAACCAUACCGGUCAAACGCCUUAAAAUCAUGACCCCUAAAGCCAGAUUUUGUUGCAUGACUGCGUCUCUUUUCAUUUUAAACAACCAUCUUCACAACAAUCAUUUCCUACAACCAACAACGUGGGAGGAGUUGUGUUGGUUUUUAAGUUUCCAUAUAACCCUUUCAUCAUUCAUUUUUAUAACAUCAAACAACUAUAUCUCUUUCUCUUUAUCUCCAAUAUGUUAUAUGUUUUGAUAAACAUUUCUAACACCCGUUUUGAUGUAUGAGUUGAUUAUGGUUGGUUUGUCUAAGUUUUGAUUUGGGAUUUUGAUUGGGCCGCGGUGCGUGUCACGUCAUUAAGUAGCGGUGCGGUGGCCGCUACAACCCAAAACCCUAAAACUCGGGUAUUAAGCCAUAUAUAAUGGUGCUAACUUUUAGGGUUUCUCAAAAUCUUCAACCUCCUUCUCCUUAGACGAAACCCUAGCCCUAUGUGCUUGUGAGAGAGUUUUGAGGUGAUUGUGAGGUUUUUGAAGAGGAAAGGAAGUUAAGGAAGCUUGAAGCAUUGUUGUCCAAUGAAUAAUCCACCUUCUAGUCUCUUCUCUUGCAUUGUAAAUGACAAAGUUUACUGCUUUAUUCGGUUUUAUGCGUAGAUCUAGGAUCUAUCUUGGUUUUUUGUCACUUUUGGUCAUUUUAACCUGAUGUUAUUGUUAGGCAUGUCAGACCCAACAAAUAAAGGGGUACAAUAGACUCCAAAUACACUGUUUUAAUGCACUAAAUGUAGUACAAGACAAGCAUGGUCGAACCACAUAGACACGGGACAAAAGUCUAUACCUCUUUGCACAACGUACUUUGAUCACAAAAGGGGGAUUUGUUUGCAAAAGUGAAAUAAUGAAAUAACAUUCUACUUUAAAAAACAUGCACAAAAUGAAAUAGAUUUGUGAACAAGUUGUAAAAGUGUUUCGAGUUCUAGUUCUCAAUGUUGUUGUUCAACUUGAUUAUGACUUGAUGUAAUUCAAGAUUUCUAUUCUAAGUUGGUACUGAAAGAUAUUAACACGCUCUAACACCUCUCGCUUGCCAAAUUAUCUAACCAAAACACGCUCUUUGACUAGACAUAGCUUUACUAAUUCAACCUAAACACACUCUUAGAUUAUAUUGAAAAAUUGCAUUAAGUUCUGUACAAGCUUCCCAACAAUGUUCAUUUCUUCUCAUACGCUCGAAAGUGUGAAAACAUGUGAUAUAUGUUUUACAAUAAGAAAACUUAUUGCUUGUUACCAAUUAUUAACUUAAUAGACUGAUUAGGUUCCCUAAAAGUUAAUUAACUGCACAAAAAUUCAAUUCAUGAAAGUGGCCAAUCAAACACAAAUCAAAUUUAAGGGUUCUAGUUUAAACAAAAACAUAAUCACUAGAAUAGAGUCACAAAUCAAAAAUCAUAUGNCAAGUCAAGCAAUCAACAUGUUUUGAACAAGAACUAGAAACUAGGGUUUCUUAGCCAAACAUGGCUAAGAACAAAUCAAACAAGAAUAAAGAUGAAAUUGAAAUGUUUAAUUUUUACUAAAAUGAAAUCAAAAGUGUUUGCAAUGAUUAGGUCUUCACAAAAGCUCCAAGAAAUCUCUUAGAAUUGCCCAAGAUCGCCCAAAACUGCUCCAAAAACCGUAUGCCCUUCAAAAUGGCGUCUCCUCCUAUUUUAAUUAAUGUUCACGUGCAUGCCAUGAGCCCAUGCGUUUUUGGCAUGGCCAUGCCUUUUGCCCAUGUGUUUUUGGCAUGGCCAUUUGUCUUAACCAUGUAUUUUUGGCAUGGCCCAUGCUUUUUGCUAAAAUUCCAAAAAGUCUUCACUGUUGGCUCCAUCUUCAAUCUAGCUUCACCACGAGUCAUGUUGCUCAAAUAUAAUAUGACAAAAGACAAACAUGACCCGUGUCGGUGUGACAAGAAUCGUGUUUCAAACAUAGUCAUUUGCUAUGAUAAUAAUGCACAAUGACUCGGGAUCCAUCUUUAUGUUUUUUGCCAUGGAAUGACCGGUUCAUCUUCUCCUCAUUGUCUAAAGCUCCAAGCAUCCAAGCUCCAUGCUCCAUAAUGCCUGCAAAAUAAAUCAAAAAUGGUGAAGUACUAGACAUUCUUGAUGAAAUAUGCAAUUGCCCUAAUAAUCAACUAAAUGCAAGAAUUAUGAAGUAGAAUGCUAUAAAAGGACGAAAAUAAACAUGCAAAAUAGGUGCAUAAAAUCCACCUAUCAGUUAUUGGAGUUUGAGCAACUCCAAAACUUUGGGUGGCAAAUGGAGAUGUUUUUGGACUUUAGGAAGAAGAAAGAUGAGUGUGCUUAGGUUCUUUUGCAACCAUUCAUAAGAUUAUAAGCUUAAAUGGACUUAAUCAAGUUAAGGUUAUAGAUUAGGAUAGAUUUAGCCCUUGGAAUGGAUAAAGUUGAAAACUUUAUCCAUUAACUGACUAGAAAGAAUCAUAUCUGAAGAUAUAAGCCUUGAUCUUUAGAGGUUAAGUGUUUAAUGAAUUAAGAGUUCCACCAGGGGAACCGUGAUGCAGCUUGAGAAACGUCAUGACACGAGAAAUGGAUGGCAUUCACGAACGUUUUUGUCAUCACAUGACUAUGGCGCGACUAGUAGUUGGGUUGCGAUGUGUUGACCGUUGACUAGUUUGUCUUUUGGUCAAAUUUGUUGAAUUUGAGUCUCAUACCGUGAAUGGAAAGUAAAAUGGUCUUUUGCCCUAAGAUGUGGAGUUAUGGAAGAAAAGACUCUAAAAGAAAGGAAAGCUAAGUAUUAUACCUUAAUCUCUAAGUUAAGGUUAUACAAUUUUGUAGUUGUUCGAGGAAGUUUCAGUGUCACUCAUCUCGUUUUAUGGAUAUAUCUUAUAAGAUAUUCAGGUAAGUUUUCACGAACUCUCUAAUUAUAUGGACUAUGACAUUAGGAUGUUAGACCAUGAAAAUCCUCUCAAAGAAAAUAAUCGGGGAUCGAUCAACUAGAGAAAAUCCUCUAGGGGGAAUCUAGUUGAAUCAGUAAUUAGAAUGAUAUGAUGUUAGGAUUAUGUAUCUUCUAUCAUGUUGCUUUGCUAACAUUAGUGACCCAAAACUCCGUUAAUAAGGAAGGCAACGAGAUUAGACGCUAAUUGUAUCCCUAUGUUAAACAUAAUAAGAUUGAGUUAAUGUUUGUGAUUGAUAUGAUAACUUGGACAAUUUGAGAAGUUGUCAUUAACCUUAGGAUUGAUCAUCCUAAUUAAGUCAUUACAUAAUAGGAAUGAAUAGACUAGGUCUAGGGGAGCUACCUUUGUUGGUAGAUAACUUAAAAUCAUAGGAUCAGUUACUUACGAUCCGAUCUAAUCAAUUUAUGGAUAAAUGAAUAACUUACCAAUAUCGUUGUAAGGAGAUUAAUUCAUUGAACUAUGACGGAUUGAAUACAAAUAUGAUUACCUUCAAAUUAUGUUAUCUAUACAGUUAGCCAUGGUUGUUAUUUGUUUUUUCACAUGGUUGAUAAGAUUAGUUGCAUGGUUGUUUAAUUAUUUAUAUGAUUAUACUAGUGCCACUAUGUAAUUCUCUUUUAAUUUCUUUCUUUUAAGAUUUAUUAAUAAGAAGAUACGAAUAUGUUAGUACACUUUUGUUCCCCAUAUGUUCGACACCCUUACUUACCUAAGUUAUGUUGUCGUUGACCAAGUCCACUACCUGGUGUAGAUAGUCAGUUUGGUUUGUUAGGAAUUAUAAAUGUAAAAAUAGAUUUAUAUUUUCAAGUCUAUAUCUUUUAUGUCAUAAGUUUUUGGCGUCAUUAUCAGAUGGAAUAGUUUUUAAGUUAUCUCAAGUUUAUAGACUAUCUUUUACACAUCAAUUUUUAUGAUUAUACUAGUGCCACUAUGUAAUUCCCUUUUAAUUUCUUUAUUUUAAGAUUAAUUAAUAAGAAGAUACGAAUAUGUUAGUACACUUUUGUUCCCCAUAUGUUCGACACUCUUACUUACCUAAGUUAUAUUGUCGUUGACCAGGUCCACUGCCUGGUGUAGAUAGUCAGUUUGGUUUGUUAGGAAUUAUAAAUAUAAAAAUAGAUUUAUAUUUUCAAGUUCUAUUCUUUUAUGUCAUAAGUUUUUGGCGUCAUUAUCAGAUGGAAUAGUUUUUAAGUUAUCUCAAGUUUAUAGACUAUCUUUUACACAUCAAUUUUUUGGCGCCGUCGUCGUGGAAUAGAUUUCAACUAAUAUUGUUGUAUAUAAUUAUCGAUCAAUUGAUAUUUUUUGAAAGGAAAAUUAAUUUUUUGGUUGAUUUUUAAAUUUUAAUUUUCGUUGAUGACGAUUUCCCUUGUCGGAAAGGUAUUUUGCUGUUGUGAUGUGUAGGACUUCAACAAAACUAAAUGCAAGGUUACAGCCAAAGGAAUUUACUCAAAAUUAGUACAAAUUAACCUUGACUCCAUAGCUUCAUUGUGUGAAGGAUACACUAGUUCAGAUCUUCUAGAGCUCUACAAACAAGCAACCUAUUUUCCCAUAAGGGAUGUUAGAAAAUCGGGUAUAGGUAUAUUUGGAUCAGUGAGAGUUGUGAAACACUUUCAUAUUAAAACAUUUCAAGGGUACACUCAAAAUUUCUAAUCGGAUGAAACUCACUGGUUUUUUUAGAAUGGAGAAUGAAGAUUAUGUUAUAAAAUUUGUACCCAAAAAUGAAUCCGAAAUUAGUCAUAUAACAAAAACUAACUUCCUAUUUUAAAACUGUCAUAUGGUUGGUACAAGAAAACAACUUCCUCUCCAAAAACUGUCAUAUUAGCUGUCACAAACUAACAUAAAACCGAGUCUAUAAAUGAUCACAAAACCGGAUGUAUUUAUAGAAAAUACGGAUCUCUGAAACCGGGUGUCUAUAAAUCGACCCCAACCAAAGGUUCUGUCCCUUGGACCCUGCUCCCAAGGGCACUGCCUCCGCACCCUCGUCAGUUUAGGGGCUAAAUAGCAGUACACGUUCAACAAUGACAAAAUCAAACAAAUGUGCACUCCGCAGCAUUACACUUAAAUAAUAUUACUGAUAUAAAAUCAUCAACAAGAGAUCUUCUAGAUGAUGAGAAGAAAGGCAAAAAAACAAAUGUUAGUAUUCAUUCUUUUACCUUUAUUUAAGUCAGGUUAAUACUAAAUUAUACGGUCUAACCACAUAAUUUCAUCAACGUCCGAGAUUGAGUUCGAUGCUUUGGUUGUAUAAUGUGGUUAUUUUAUUUGUCAUUUUGUCUAAUUAUAUUGCAUUGAAUACGUGUUUUGUUGAUGUUAAUUGAGAUUUUUUAUAAUAAUUUAGGGGCCAAGCCGCCAAGGGCAUUAACACAAGCAAAUUUGGAGAAGGUGGUGCUUACAACAAAGAAGACGAGGGUUGCAGCAAGUGAGUAUAGUGGUUUGAGCAGCUCACAAUCAGAAGUAUGGUCAGUGCCAAGGGAAACGGAUGAUUAUCAAGCUGCCAUUAGUGAGCUUUCCAAGAUUGUUGUCUCACAGAUUAUGAACAUUAGAGCAGACAACCAAGAUCGUGAUCGAAGAUCAAUUCAUAUUUAAGAUUUCAUCUCCCUCUCUCAAUUUUGAUUAGUCAGGAUUAUAUGUCAUAUUAUGGUAUGAUGUACAAUAUACUUAUGCAAAAAGUUAUCUUAUU